RNAcentral lists this long non-coding RNA (1381 nucleotides) under Heterocephalus glaber (naked mole-rat). Its description in RNAcentral is "lncRNA (ENSHGLG00000041159.1)". The record is from RNAcentral. Lineage: Eukaryota; Metazoa; Chordata; Mammalia; Rodentia; Bathyergidae.
GUCACAGGCAACUCUAUGGACUGGCCCAGGUGACAAAGAAUGGAGGCCACCUCCUGCCCAUGGCCGCAUAGAUGAGUCCCCGUAGAAGCACAGCCUCUAGCCCCAGUCAAAGCUUCAGAUGACAGAGCCUGGCUUGACUAGAGCCUCAAGAAAAGCCCUGAGCAAGAAUCACCCUUCUGUCAUCAGCAAACGUUGCCCAAGCUCCAGUCAUACAUUAAGCAGACUUCUAGGUUCUAGGAACAAAGCAGUGACAAUGCCAAGAAAGCACCUGUUUUCACAGCAGUAACAUUCUCAAAAAGGAAACUAAUAGACACAUCAAAACAAAUUGGAUCAUUUCAAAGAGUGCUAGCUCUGGAAAAGAAAUUAAGAUUAUAGGACAGAAAAUGCCUAGUAAGCAUAGUCUAUACCAGGAGGGGCACCUGAACUAGGAUUUGAAGACUUAGAAGACCUGAACAGGAGCAUUGAAGAUAGAAGAAAUAGCAGGGGGAAAUGCCUGGGGCAGAAAAGGCUUGGUAGUUUCACUGUGCUGAGCAAGGAGACAGUGCUACGUGAUAAAGUCCAAGAAGGUGUUAGAAGCCAGCACAUGCGAGGCCUCGUGGCCAAUGACUCUAACUCCAAAGGAAAUGGGAAGUCAAUGGAAGGUUCUAAGAAGAGAAGUGAUGCAAUCCCAUGUGCAUUCCUAAAAUGUCACUCUAGCUGCUUCAUAGACUAACACCAUAUAGAGGGCAGAAACAGAAGCCUGGAAGUUAGUUGGCCUCAGUCGCUCACUCAGGUCAAUGGCCACAGCUGGCUGAAGAUGGGGAAAUACUGAAGUUUGGAAGAGUUAUGUGGAUUGUAUAACAUCACCAGCCACACAGGGCUUCCUAGAGGAGUAGCAAAAGGGAUUUUGGACAGAGCAGUUAUUUGUGCUGAACUGUUUCCUAUGUGUUCAGCAUCCUUCCAUCCUGCCCACUAAAGCCCAACAGAGACCCCACCCACCCCCAUCUACUGGCUCAACUACUGUGAUACUAGAUGCUUUUCCAGACUUCUAUUAGUCAGCUUAACAUUGCUAUAAUGAGUGUAUGUACUACUUUUUCCGAGAAGAAAAAGAAAUCCUAGGAAAAAAAUACUAUCCCAAAAAUGAAUACUUUCUUCUCUUCAGCUGUACUGCAAGCUCAUUUCCUUUGGCUAUAUAGUCAGGGAAGAAGAGCUACAACUAACUAAUCCAACUCAAUCAAGGAACGUCAUCAAGACAUCUCAGGGAACCCAAAAGGAAAACACAAAGCAAAGGCAGGCCCCACAGGAAUCAGAACUGGAAAGCCAAGCAGAAUCAAGCCCAGCAUGUUAUCAUCUCCAUUGCUGCCAGUAAGUCCCAUUCUGCUCUGGUGUUUCUUACACUUAG